This 567-nucleotide long non-coding RNA is filed under the name Androctonus crassicauda. Lineage: Eukaryota; Metazoa; Arthropoda; Arachnida; Scorpiones; Buthidae. The record is from RNAcentral.
AGUAUUUAAAAAUAUAUAAACAUCUAUAUAUAUACACAUAUAUAUAAAGAGUGAUUAAAAAUAUAUAUAUAAAACUUCUAUUUUGUCAAAUUUCAAAAAAGCUUGAUUAAAAUGUACAAAAAGAAUCAAAAAUUGACGACGAAGAAGACGAAGACGACUAUAACUUAUCGACAUCUACCACAGUUAUAUUCAUGUUCAUAUACAGUAUAUACAUUACUGCCAUGUCAGCUAUUUUGUCAAUGUGUUCGAUGUUCGUGCCAAAAUAUUGUGAACAAAAUCGCUUCUGUCUUUUCUGAAAAAUUGAUAUUUAAAUUUUAAUAAUAAAACCGUGCAAAGAUAUUAUGUACUUGAGCUUAAAUUUUCGAAAAAGAAAAAAAAAAUUCUUGUAAAAAUUUGUAUGCGCAUAUUAUACUGUAAACCCGCUAAAAUUGUACUUAUUGUUACGAUAAAUAUAAUAAUAAAUUGUACGAAUAUUAUUUGUUUCUGAAAUAAAUAUUCUUCUAUAACUGUAAAAAAAAAAAAAAAAAAUUAUUAUUUUUCAAACAGACAUUCAAAUGACCUCUUGAG